GGGAUAACAGGCUGAUACCGCCCAAGAGUUCAUAUCGACGGCGGUGUUUGGCACCUCGAUGUCGGCUCAUCACAUCCUGGGGCUGAAGUAGGUCCCAAGGGUAUGGCUGUUCGCCAUUUAAAGUGGUACGCGAGCUGGGUUUAGAACGUCGUGAGACAGUUCGGUCCCUAUCUGCCGUGGGCGCUGGAGAACUGAGGGGGGCUGCUCCUAGUACGAGAGGACCGGAGUGGACGCAUCACUGGUGUUCGGGUUGUCAUGCCAAUGGCACUGCCCGGUAGCUAAAUGCGGAAGAGAUAAGUGCUGAAAGCAUCUAAGCACGAAACUUGCCCCGAGAUGAGUUCUCCCUGACUCCUUGAGAGUCCUGAAGGAACGUUGAAGACGACGACGUUGAUAGGCCGGGUGUGUAAGCGCAGCGAUGCGUUGAGCUAACCGGUACUAAUGAACCGUGAGGCUUAACCUUACAACGCCGAAGGUGUUU
Molecule: ribosomal RNA, 478 nt
Filed under: Escherichia coli
Lineage: Bacteria; Pseudomonadati; Pseudomonadota; Gammaproteobacteria; Enterobacterales; Enterobacteriaceae
Description: partial 23S ribosomal RNA
Rfam family: Bacterial large subunit ribosomal RNA
Source: RNAcentral